GCAGGGGGGUGGGGGUUGACAGGGGUGGGUGAGGUUUGACAGGGGUGUUGGGUAAGGAAUGGUAGGUUUGUAAGGGUGCUGAGAAGGAUAGGGGUAGUUUGAAGGGGUUUUGGUAGGGUUUGACAGGGGUUAGCAGGGGGUUGGUAGGGUUUGACAGGGGUGGGUGAGGUUUGACAGGGGUGUUGGGUAAGGAAUGGUAGGUUUGUAAGGGUGCUGAGAAGGAUAGGGGUAGUUUAAAGGGGUUUUGGUAGGGUUUGACAGGGGUUAGCAGGGGUUUGACAGGGGUUGACAGGGGGUGAGGUAGGUUUGACAGGGUUGUAGGGUAAGGAAUCAUAGGUUUGUAAGGGUUGUAAGAAGGAUAGGGAUGGUUUGAAGGGGUUUUGAUAGGGUUUGACAGGGAUUGACAGGGAUGGUAAUAGUAAUAAUAGUAGUAGUAGUAGUAGUAGUAG
Molecule: long non-coding RNA, 449 nt
Organism: Eriocheir sinensis (Chinese mitten crab)
Lineage: Eukaryota; Metazoa; Arthropoda; Malacostraca; Decapoda; Varunidae
Exons: 2
Source: RefSeq, a predicted model, not a curated record